This 148-nucleotide non-coding RNA is filed under the name Homo sapiens (human). Lineage: Eukaryota; Metazoa; Chordata; Mammalia; Primates; Hominidae. The record is from Rfam by way of RNAcentral.
GCCAGGCGUGGUGGCGAGCGCCUGUAAUUCCAGCUACUUGGGAGGCUGGGGCAGGAGAAUCGCUUGAGCCCAGGAGGAAAGGGUUGCAGUGAGCCAAGAUAGCACCACUACACUCCAGCCUGGGUGACAGAGCGAGACUCUGUCUCAA